Molecule: ribosomal RNA, 433 nt
Filed under: uncultured bacterium
Lineage: Bacteria
Description: partial 16S ribosomal RNA
Rfam family: Bacterial small subunit ribosomal RNA
Source: RNAcentral
AACGAACGCUGGCGGCAUGCCUAACACAUGCCAGUCGAACGAGACCUUCGGGUCUAGUGGCGCACGGGUGCGUAACGCGUGGGAACCUGCCCUUAGGUUCGGAAUAACUCCCCGAAAGGGGUGCUAAUACCGGAUAAUGUCUUCGGACCAAAGAUUUAUCGCCUUUGGAUGGGCCCGCGUUGGAUUAGCUAGUUGGUAGGGUAAAAGCCUACCAAGGCGACGAUCCAUAGCUGGUCUGAGAGGAUGAUCAGCCACACUGGGACUGAGACACGGCCCAGACUCCUACGGGAGGCAGCAGUGGGGAAUAUUGGACAAUGGGCGAAAGCCUGAUCCAGCAAUGCCGCGUGAGUGAUGAAGGCCUUAGGGUUGUAAAGCUCUUUUACCCGGGAUGAUAAUGACAGUACCGGGAGAAUAAGCUCCGGCUAACCCCGUG